Molecule: non-coding RNA, 1649 nt
Organism: Durio zibethinus
Lineage: Eukaryota; Viridiplantae; Streptophyta; Magnoliopsida; Malvales; Malvaceae
Source: RefSeq, a predicted model, not a curated record
UAACGGACAUGGAAACGGUUGGUUAAGAAGAGAAGAAUAGACGAAAUACUUGGCCAAACUCAUCUAUUUUUCCCUUCCCAGAAUCCUUGGAGAACCCUGAAUUCUUCUUUCCUCGUAGACAUCAGGAAACGAACUCUUCCCGCUGCUCCGCCAAGAAGAAGAUCGGAUUUGUGGAUCAAAUUCUCGAUUAUAUUGAAGGGGGUCCCAAGUUAAGUAAAUGGUAUGGGGCACCUGAUCUACUACCGAAAGAUGGAUCUAUCGUGGAAGGGGAGUAGGAUUAUCCCGAAGAUAAAGUCAGGGAUGCAGAUUUAUUAACAGCUGGGAGUACUGAAAUUGGGCAAGUAAGUUUUUUCGUUUCAUGUACGAUCUUAUAGUCUUUUUAACUCCCUGACGGUUAAUGCAUUUUGAGCUUGAUUGUGACUUUUAUAUAUGUAUAUGGUGAUAUUGUCAUUGAUUGUCAAACGAACUUGAAUAAAAGCAUUGGUGAAGGAUAAGCGUGCAGCUAAUGAGGCAUUUGGAGCUUAUGUUGAGUAAAUUUCUGGAGAUAAAAGUAACAAGAUAUUUGUAAAGAAAGCUCUCCGAGGAGUUCGCUCAAUCAUAUGGCCAAAUUUUCUCCAUCUUUUCCAUUAGGAUAUUCUUAGUGAGACAGAUAGAGAACUGGAGAUUCCAAAUGGUUGAGUAAAACUUGCAGACUACAUAAAACUCGGAGCUUAACUCUGUAGUCGGUUCAUGCAGCAACCAUUAAGAGGUGGCUUUUAGCAGGUUUCUUAUCUAGUAUUGAAAGCUUGAAAGGUGUUGAAUAUAUAAUUCUCUUGUUUUAGGUUGCAGUUGUCUGUUUAUGGAGCUAGCAGUGGCAUUCAAGCUCUCAUGACAAACAAUCCGAGAAAAUUAGCUGAGAAAGAUGAAACGAUAUUGAUGGCUUGAGGAAUUCCAUAUACCCUAAUUAUAGCAGGAAUGUUGCAAUACACUCCUGGAGGAACACAGGGUUUCAACUUUGAAGAGGUUUAGUCUUGUUGAAGUUAACUAGAAAUUUGAGCAACAUAUACAGCAGAGUCAGUGACCAAUAAAAAGAAAAUAAACUUUAAAAAUGUUUCUCAAAUGCUCUUUCAAUCACUUAAUGAAGCCUGUUUCUUGAUUCUUUAAAAUCUUCGAACUGGAAUGAGUCUGUUUGCUGAAUUGGAGGACACAAAAAACAAUCUUUUCAUUGUAAUAGAUCCAGACAGAAGUGCUAAGCGGCCAUUGACAGGGUAGUGCAUCAAGUGGACGCCUUAGCACGGAGGAUGCUGCAUCUAUAUGCGUGGAAGCACUUGAAGUAGUUCCACAAGCAAGAUUCACAUUUGAGGUUGUCCAUGGAGCAGAGGGAAGGUUUCAGAUUGGAAAGAGUGUUUGACUACAAUGAUGGAAAAAACAGAGCUGCAGCUACCAUGACCAUAUUCAACCCAAAUACCAAGUGCACCCAUUUGUUUGUUUUGAAUUUUUUUUUUCUUUUUCCUAUGAAGUUUUCAGUAAGUUGGUUAUUAGUAAAUUUGUUUGUCCUGCUUUUGGACUGCAAAAGUUUACAUUGAAGUUGGUGUACUGCAAUUUUACAUGACAAUGGUAUGAAUGCUGAUUUUGAAGGCAAACUGAAAGAUUUGACCUAAAGAAGCCAU